This 2859-nucleotide long non-coding RNA is filed under the name Paramuricea clavata. Lineage: Eukaryota; Metazoa; Cnidaria; Anthozoa; Malacalcyonacea; Plexauridae. The record is from RNAcentral.
AGAUAAUACCAGAAGUCUUACUCAAGCGGAAACAUGUCCCAUCUUUUUUAUUGCGCAUGCGCGAGCUAAACAAGUGUAAUGCAAUGUUGACAAUAGAAAAUUAUAUUGGGAAGUUGUCAUUCCUACAGUAAAAACAGCUUUUUUUCAAGCAGUACGAAAUGUGACUUCGAUUUAUCCGUGGAACUAUUUGAACAGAAGGUAAAGCAGUAAUUUUGUUGUACUUAGAAAGCAAACAGGGUCAUAUUUUAAAGAAAAUAGCGCACUAAAUAUAAAUUUGAGCAUCAUUAAAAUGUGUUCGCUAUGAUGCCAUUUUGUCUCGAGUAUAUACGGAGUACUGCUUUUAUACUGGUGGAUAUUCGAAUUUAUUUGGCUCAAAAACACCAUUACUUCAAUAUCCCUUUCUUGUUUUUCCUUGGAUAGGUUUUAACAAGAUAGAACUCUAGAUCACUUGGGUCCAAAAACGCUAGAUUAUAAAAUCCUGAUGUGACUUGAUACUACAAAUAGAAUAUGUCUUGUGAUGUAAUACUACAAAUAGAAUGACAAACUUCAAUGAAUUGAUAAAGUGUAAGGAUUCAAGGAUAGUGUUUAAAGUUGCUUCAUGUGUAGAAGCUGAAUUACUUUAGUUUAUACACUGUAAUGUCGAUAUCACAUGUUGAUGACUUUAAUACUAGCAACAAGUGGUCUGUCCUGCUUGUUUAUAAUACUUUAGAGUUUGGACAUUAGAACAUUGUAAUUGCCUGACAGAGAUUGUUAGGGCCUGUUUGUAUGGAAGCCGGGCUGGCCCGCUUAGCGAGACAGCCCGGUAAGGUAGGUAAGCUGGAUGAUUUCUCUUGUGUUUAUUUGAGAAAAUUUCAUCCUGCUUACCCGGGACAAUUUUGUUGUUUUGACAUUGUUUUGACAGUUGUUAAAAAUAGCUUGCAGCAGUAUCGUUGAACUUUCAUCCUGGCAACUGGGCUAGCCUGCUUGUGAUUGUUUAUAUGGAGAAAUUUCCAUCCUGGUCUCUGCAACAGGGCCUCCCGCUUGUACAUAGAAACAAGUUUAAUUAUAAUUUUUACUAUAAAAAUAAGUAGACAGCGAGAUCUCACUUACCGGGCUGUCUCACUUAGCGGGCCAGCCAGUUUCGAUAUAAACAGACCCUUAAAAGCUGCAAGUUUCCUUAAAGCAAUAUCGUCUAUAUCACAGAAUACAGUUUCUGUAGUGACAUACUUUGUGUGUUUUCUGUCUUUAAAGUGUCUUAUGUUUGUAAUAUUUUUGUACAAUACAUUUUUGAAAUUGUUGAUACUGGUCUCAUUGUAACUCAGUUAUUCCUUCUCAAGAAAAAUAAAAAAACAAAGCUGUGUGGGUGUGUUUUUGCUCUAGUUUUUACAUCUACAUGAUUCAUGUACAAUUAAUGUACAUUUAAAUUAGCUUUGUUCAAUGAAUACAGGUGUGAUUCAAAUAUCAUUCCUAUCUGGUACUUGGGUCAAAUAGACAUAAGCAUACCAAAUCAUGCUAUGAAUUGAAAUACAAGUAUAGGGUGUGUAUUGUUUAAAUAAAUAUAUUUUCCAGUUAACCCAGUAAGCUGCAUUGUGUCCCAAUGCACCCUACUUUACUAGUUUAUUUCACUUCAUCUAAUGCCAGAUGAUUUUACUUAUCGAGGGAGAGUGCUGCUGCUCAUUGAGCUCUGAUUGAGUUCACUGAGUGGCAGCACUUUCCCCUUGACGAGUGAAAUUGUCUGGUGUUAGACAGAGUAAAAUAAUCUUGUGUUCACUAAAGUAGCUACUUUUUCAAAAGCUCAACCAGGCUAAAGAUUCUUUGAUUUGAAAACCAAAGUGAUAGUGAACUAGUUAGUUGAAACAAACAGAAUUGUUCGAUUUAUUUACUUUCCACAACAUAAUUUGACAAUUAAAAUUUAAUUUGAUACUUUUCCAGUAUGCAUUCUUCAUUGACAUUAUAGAGGUUCAGAUUUGACAACCAUUACCAUUAAGGGACCAUCAAAUGUAUUUGAUAUAUUCGAUCAACCAUGAUUAUAACCAAUCAAAUGCAUACUAAGGCAGUCAGAGAUAGUGCUAGUAGAACUCAAAUCUUAACCUCUACAAUGAAAGUGCGAGUUUAUUCAUAAACUAAUUAUACGUAAAUCAACUUUCAUGCAAUCAUCUAGUUAUGCACCAGUCAAUGUAAACCCUGCCCCCAACCGGGGAGGGGCGGGAGGUUUAGUGGGGAAAGUGGUCCGUUUUGAUUAUAAAUUUGCCACGAUGAUGGGAGACUUGGACGGUGGUUAAUAUAUGUAUAUAUCCUGUGUUGCUGUUUUAGUUUUCUUGACAAGAAAAGUUUAAAUACAACAACAUAAAUGAAUUUGAUUUUCUAUUGCUGAUCUAUGAUUAUACAAAACUAUUUUCCCGCGGUUGAGAGACAUGCAGGGGACAUUGAUGUCCCUGGGGGCGGGACAAUUUUGCUCUUUUACUACCCCUCCAAGUCAAAAUCCCUGCCCCUCCCCGGUUGGGGGUUUACAUUGACUGGUGCAUUAAUUAAAGAGGUGUCAGUGCCACAUAUGUAGUAAAAGCCAACUUGUCAGUAAAGGCCACAGAGCAAGAUUGUAUUUCAAAGAUUGCCAGUGACAAGAACAAUUGAUAGGCCUGAAAUAGAGUAUGCUAACAGUUAGUAUACUGCAAAUAACUAUUCUAUCAACAAGAUAAUGACCGAUGUGUGUUUUUACAAAUGUUUUUAUAUAUCAAUCCAAUGGCAUGUAACCUAAAAUUCAGCAGUGUCUGUGUAAUGUAAUACACCCUUACUUCUCAAUGGUCAAAUUAACUAUACUACAUUGUGUAUAAUAAUAUAUGGACUGGUUCAAAAAUAUAUUGAAUUAAUAACUUAUAAGUG